AACGCGAAGAACCUUACCUGGGCUCGAAAUGCAGAGGGAGAUAUCAGAAAUGAUAUCGUCCGCAAGGACUUCUGUAUAGGUGCUGCAUGGCUGUCGUCAGCUCGUGCCGUGAGGUGUUGGGUUAAGUCCCGCAACGAGCGCAACCCUUAUCAUUAGUUGCCAACACGUAAGGUGGGGACUCUAAUGAGACUGCCUGGGUUAACCAGGAGGAAGGCGAGGAUGACGUCAAGUCCGCAUGGCCUUUAUGUCCAGGGCUACACACGUACUACAAUGGUCGGUACAGAGGGCUGCAAGACCGUAAGGUGGAGCAAAUCCCAGAAAGCCGAUCUCAGUUCAGAUUGUGGUCUGCAACUCGACCACAUGAAGUCGGAAUUGCUAGUAAUGGCGGGUCAGCAACACCGCCGUGAAUACGUUCCCGGGCCUUGUA
This 427-nucleotide ribosomal RNA is filed under the name uncultured Chlamydiae bacterium. RNAcentral's name for it is "bacterial SSU rRNA". It matches the Rfam family "Bacterial small subunit ribosomal RNA", at positions 958 to 1385 of the family's 1533-position model. The record is from RNAcentral. Lineage: Bacteria; Pseudomonadati; Chlamydiota; Chlamydiia.